AGGACGAACGCUGGCGGCGUGCUUCAUACAUGCAAGUCGAGCGGAAAGGCCCUUCGGGGUACUCGAGCGGCGAACGGGUGAGUAACACGUGAGCAAUCUGCCUUCAGCUCCGGGAUAACGCGCUGUGGUAACACAGCUACUGGAAACAGGUGCUAAUACCGGAUAUGACCUCGAAGGACAUCCUUUGAGGUGGAAAGUUUUUCGGCUGAAGAUGAGCUCGCGGCCUAUCAGCUUGUUGGCGGGGUAACGGCCCACCAAGGCGACGACGGGUA
RNAcentral lists this ribosomal RNA (272 nucleotides) under uncultured bacterium. Its description in RNAcentral is "partial small subunit ribosomal RNA". It matches the Rfam family "Bacterial small subunit ribosomal RNA", at positions 26 to 285 of the family's 1533-position model. The record is from RNAcentral.